Molecule: RNA transcript, 1477 nt
Organism: Manis javanica (Malayan pangolin)
Lineage: Eukaryota; Metazoa; Chordata; Mammalia; Pholidota; Manidae
Gene: DTD1
Gene name: D-aminoacyl-tRNA deacylase 1
Source: RefSeq, a predicted model, not a curated record
ACGUGGGCGGGCUGUCGGUAACCGGGUCGACCCGCGGCCGCCGCGCUUCCUGGUGUCGCCGCAGAGGGCGCCGGCUGCCGAGCCGCCCACAGAGUCGCGAGGCCGGAAGCAGCGCGGCACCGCCCGUUCGCCCCAGCCGCCGCCAUGAAGGCCGUGGUGCAGCGCGUCACCCGGGCCAGCGUCACAGUUGGAGGAGAGCAGAUAAGUGCCAUUGGACGGGGCAUCUGUGUGUUGCUGGGUGUUUCUUUGGAAGAUACACAGAAGGAACUGGAGCACAUGGUCCGAAAGAUUUUAAACCUGCGUGUUUUUGAGGAUGAGGGUGGGAAACACUGGUCGAAGAGUGUGAUGGACAAGCAGUAUGAGGUGCUGUGUGUCAGCCAGUUCACCCUCCAGUGUGUCCUGAAGGGGAACAAGCCUGACUUCCACCUGGCAAUGCCCACGGAGCAGGCAGAGAGCUUCUACAACAGCUUCCUGGAGCAACUGCGCAAGACAUACAGGCCGGAGCUCAUCAAAGACGGCAAGUUUGGUGCCUACAUGCAAGUCCAUAUUCAGAAUGAUGGGCCUGUGACCAUAGAACUGGAAUCCCCGGUUUCUGGUGCUGCUACCUCCGACCCAAAGCAGCUGUCAAAACUUGAAAAACAGCAGCAGAGGAAAGAAAAGACCAGAGCCAAAGGGCCUUCUGAGUCAAGCAAAGAAAGAAACACUCCACGCAAAGAAGACCGCAGUGCCAGCAGUGGCGCCGAGGGUGACGUGUCUUCCGAGAGGGAACCAUAGACUUUGGGAUGGUACUCAGAGACAUCAAAAAAAUACAUUUGGAAAAAGAUGUCAUCCUUUCACCAGCUCUCACAGUGCAUUAUCAUUGGGCAGAACUGGAUCCUGAAAAUUUCAUGAAAGAUGCUAACUACCUACACUGCUUUAAGAAUUUGGAACUGAAUCACGAAAAGAAAGACAGAAGUAAGAAACUUGGAACCUGAAUAGCCCUGAAAAAAAACACCAAAGGAACAUUACCAUUUUCUUUUGUUGCUGUGGUCUGAUAGAGGAAGUGGGUGAUGCUAGUGUGGGGAGUGCAUCCCAUGCUCUUGGCAGCAGGGCAUGUGCCCAGUGCCUCCCCAACAGAAAGGUUUUGUUGGUUCCUAUGAUGUCUUGGCUUGCUUUUGGGACAGGCUAACCCAACAUCAUUUGUCACUGAGUCCUUCUUUCACUGUGGUAUGUUUCUGUGUGUCUGUGAUGGGUCUCAAAUGCAUUCAUGCUGUCCAUGUUCUUCCCAACACUGGCUAAGCCAGGGCCCAUGUAAAGGUGUAAAGAGAACAAUCAUCAGUGGUAAUGUAUUGUGUAAGAACUUUGCAUCUUAUAAAUUUUCUCUUUUUUUCUAAAGAAUAAAUCUUUGAAUCUCAACAAAUCACUUUAUUAUUAAAGAAAUCCUGCUGUGUUUCUGCUUAAUGAUUUUGUCUGUAGAAAUAUAAUGUAUCUGACUCUA